CCUACGGGAGGCAGCAGUGAGGAAUAUUGGGCAAUGGACGCAAGUCUGAACCAGCCAUGCCGCGUGCAGGAUGACGGCUCUAUGAGUUGUAACCUGCUUUUGUACGAGGGUAAACCCCGAUACGUGCAUCGGGUUGAACGUAUCCUACGAAUAAGGAUCGGCUAACUCCGUGCCAUCAGCCGCGGUAAUACGGAGGGUGCGAGCGUUAAUCGGAAUUACUGGGCGUAAAGCGCUCGUAGGCGGGAUGUCAAGUCACGGGUGAAAUCCCCGCGCUCAACGUGGGAACUGCCUUUGAAACUGGCAAACUGGAGUGUGUGAGAGGAUAGUGGAAUUCCAGGUGUAGGAGUGAAAUCCGUAGAUAUCUGGAGGAACAUCAGUGGCGAAGGCGACUAGCUGGAACAUAACUGACGCUGAGGAGCGAAAGCGUGGGUAGCAAACAGGAUUAGAUACCCGGGUAGUC
This 460-nucleotide ribosomal RNA is filed under the name uncultured bacterium. Its description in RNAcentral is "partial 16S ribosomal RNA". It matches the Rfam family "Bacterial small subunit ribosomal RNA", at positions 338 to 795 of the family's 1533-position model. The record is from RNAcentral.